This 404-nucleotide ribosomal RNA is filed under the name uncultured bacterium. Its description in RNAcentral is "bacterial SSU rRNA". It matches the Rfam family "Bacterial small subunit ribosomal RNA", at positions 355 to 776 of the family's 1533-position model. The record is from RNAcentral.
UGGGGAAUCUUGGGCAAUGGGCGAAAGCCUGACCCAGCGACGCCGCGUGGAGGACGAAGGCCCUCGGGUCGUAAACUCCUGUUCUUGGGGAAGAGAAUGACGGUACCCAAGGAGCAAGCCCCGGCUAACUCCGUGCCAGCAGCCGCGGUAAUACGGGGGGGGCAAGCGUUGUUCGGAAUUACUGGGCGUAAAGGGUGCGUAGGCGGCUUAGGAAGUCUGAGGUGAAAGUCCCCGGCUCAACCGGGGGAGGACCUCAGAAACCCAUAGGCUAGAGAGCUGGAGAGGGAAGCGGAAUUCCCGGUGGAGCGGUGAAAUGCGUAGAUAUCGGGAGGAACAUCGGAGGCGAAGGCGGCUUCCUGGACAGCAUCUGACGCUGAGGCACGAAAGCUAGGGGAGCGAACGGG